CUACCACUUAGCAACAAGAACACUGUUGUUGCUCUUUAUUGAUACCAGUGCCCUCUUAAAUAUCUCCAUCGAUGCAGCACACCGCAGAGCCUAACUUCACUAAGUGCAAAAGGUUGUCUCUGUUUGACCCUUGUUUCUUUUAACAGAUUGACCUACAUUAAAAGCAAUCUGUUAUUUAAAGAUAAAAAACACAAAGUUUCAGUAGAAUGGAAAUGUACAGGAAUGGUCACUGUAGGAUGUCAGUCUUGCUGAAAAGAGCGAUGUGGCUCGCACUUUUCAUCUUGCAUUCAUCAGGACAAACGCAAGAAAACCAGAGCUCAGUCACAACACUUGAUACUGCAGGCAGAAAAGCAUGGUGACGAGAGCUGCGCACAGUAUUCCAUAUUCCAUCUGGAGCCUAACCAGUACAGGUGUCACCCCACCAUAUCUGCGGUUCAUAUGUUCCAAGACCUACCACGGAUGUCUGAAAUUGUGGGUAACAGCGAACUCUAUUAUUUAAGUGGGAAACUGAACUCCUUGGCAGCCCCCUGGAAUUAUUUUUGGAAUGCUCCAUGUUAUCUUUUUGGGCCACAGUAAACCGUGGAUAACUGAAACCAUGGAAACCGACUCCGCAGAUUUGGGGGUUCUAUUGUAUUCUACAAAGUUGCAAAAAGAUUUCUCUGUUCCUGUAUUCUACACCCUGGCAAAAGAAGGCAAGCAUCUGUGCUGGGACUUCCAGUAUCAAGAGACUUGUACACCAGUGUUCAUUGGGCAGUAGUCCCUAGAAACUGACCAUUGAUUGUGAAAAUCCUUCCCAUUUUAGACCUCGCAAAAUGCAUUGCCUCGUACAUCACAUUAAAUUCUAUCUGUCCUUGUGGAAUUGUGGGGAAAAGUUAAGAUGGGAAAAUUGGCCAACUCUCAGGUUAUAAAGCAAUAUGUUUGAAGGGACUGUGAUAAAAAGUCAGAAACAGUAAACAUGACACAGGCUGAAUGUACACAAAUGCUUUCACCUUGGCAAACUUUCACUUUCUCUGAUGGUUCUUUGUAUAUUCUGAAAUGUCGGUUUAAGCCGAAACAAAACGCUCAUUGCCAAAACAUGAUUAUGGAAUGAAGUGUAUAACUCGAUGUUUUGGAAAGUCAAAUAGGCAACACACAUCAAAGUUCAAGUUUACUAGUAUAAUGAUUGACAAACACCUAAUGAUUUCUGUCAGUUGUCAAUAUAUCUUAAGUAUAAAAGUCCUAUCGUUUUCUCUGUAAAAGUGCAGAAACUUGGAACGAGAAAACAACUUGUAUCUCCUCUCAAAUUUUUAGUCAAGCAGCAUGGAGUAUUUUUAAUAAAAGCUGUAUAUUUUCAGUUCAAA
Molecule: non-coding RNA, 1340 nt
Organism: Chiloscyllium plagiosum (whitespotted bambooshark)
Lineage: Eukaryota; Metazoa; Chordata; Chondrichthyes; Orectolobiformes; Hemiscylliidae
Source: RefSeq, a predicted model, not a curated record